This is a long non-coding RNA of Arabidopsis thaliana (thale cress), 316 nucleotides long. RefSeq annotates it as other RNA. The record is from RefSeq. The transcript has a single exon. Lineage: Eukaryota; Viridiplantae; Streptophyta; Magnoliopsida; Brassicales; Brassicaceae.
CUAGUUUCUUGAAAAUGCAUGUAUAAACAUAUUGAUGCAUUUUCUGUGAGAAUUGUUUGGUAGUUUUCCUUAAUUGCAUCACUUGUCGUCUCUUUGAUUUUACAGUCUGCAUCACUUGCGCUUGGGAUGAUGGUUUCUCUUUCUAAUGAAGUCGCUUAUCUUCUGUAUAGGAUUUUACUGAUGCAAGUGAAACCUCUGGUAUGAGUCAUCACAUGUUUGCCUAGAUUCCCCUGUCUGUGUAUUGGGAGUUUUUGAUGGUCGAUGAUGCAAAUCUUGAAAACUUAAAAGUAAGAAUGAUUGAUUAUUCUUGUGUAAU